CCUGCCUUCAGGAUGGGGACAACAGACGGAAACGACUGCCUAAUACCGAAUACGUUCCUUAGGUCGCAUGACUUUAGGAAGAAAGGGUGGCCUCUACUUGUAAGCUAUCGCCUGGAAGAGGGGUUUGCGUCUGAUUAGGUAGUUGGUGAGGUAACGGCCCACCAAGCCGACGAUCAGUAGCCGGUCUGAGAGGAUGAACGGCCACACUGGAACUGAGACACGGUCCAGACUCCUACGGGAGGCAGCAGUGGGGAAUCUUCGCAAUGGGCGAAAGCCUGACGGAGCAACGCCGCGUGAGUGAUGACGGCCUUCGGGUUGUAAAGUUCUGUUAUACGGGACGAAUGGCGUAACGGUCAAUACCCGUUACGAGUGACGGUACCGUAAGAGAAAGCCACGGCUAACUACGUG
This 408-nucleotide ribosomal RNA is filed under the name uncultured bacterium. RNAcentral's name for it is "bacterial SSU rRNA". It matches the Rfam family "Bacterial small subunit ribosomal RNA", at positions 125 to 507 of the family's 1533-position model. The record is from RNAcentral.